AUAUGUAAAAGAACAUAUAAUACAUAAAACUAAUUUAUAUAACAUUUAUCCCGCGCAAAGCGCUGUCUUAACCUAGUAUAUCAGUAUACCACCAACCAGUGAAUAUUUUAGAAACUAAUUCAUAACAUGACGUAUAAUAUGAUGGAAAACCAUGGUUUUGAACAGUGGCAGAUCUAAGAAAAAAAUUUACUCGGGGCAAAACUAUAAAACACUAGUAAUAUAUUUACAAAUUCAAAUUUUCAUCAGGACCACUAUUAAAAUGAUAUCCUUUUUUAUUAUUUGAGGAGCAUUAUAUAAAACUAACAUUUAAUUCAUGUGUUUAUUACAUGUGUGUCAUUUCCUACGUGUCAGCACCACAAGUUCUCUCACUUCAUAUAUUCAAAAACCCUUUCUUAGCUAGACUAAUUACAAAAUUUGUCAUUGCUCAUUACAUUAAAAAUUGGGUAUAUACUAUAAGCUUAUUGAGUAACAAAAAAAUUAAAUCCGCACCUUGCUUGCUACGCUUUAAUUAGAAACGACAAAUUUAAAUACACAGAGAUUUUAUUGCCAUAACCUGAGAUUCUUCAUAAUGAUCGAUUUCGUUAUAUAGCCCGACUUCAAUAUUAUUAAUGCCUUUCUACAUAGUUAGACUACAUAAAAUCCGUUGUGUACGUAUGUAUCUACAUAUCUACUUAUAUAUAUGUUGCUGCAACUCUUCUCCGUAUUAGAUAAAGAUACCAAUCACAAUCGCAAUAUUCAAGAAUUAUUACAGAAUGGCAAAAUCUUAUAGAUAUAUACGUACACUUUUUUUUUAAAUGACAUAAAACUUGGAAAUAUAUUAUAUUGUUAAAAGCUAAUAAUAUUUUCAAAUCUCCUCUAUUGCAUGUUAACCAUGUUUAUUGUUUCCAUAAUUAUCAAUGCAAUUGUAAUCGACGAUCAUUUUAUGAUACUUUAGAUUCAAGACAACACAAUUUAAUACAUUACCAUUUCGAUUUUUUCCACAAUAUAUGAUUCAAAUUUGAAUUGUCAAUCACGGAAUCAAAUGAAUUAUUGUCAAUGGCAAUGUUAGCGUGAUAAUGGAAACAAAAUUGGCGUGAAAAGAUGAGUUUUCUAUAUAAGGGAUUUAACGGAUAUUGCAUCGUUGUUAUUUGAAUACGGUUUCACCACGUCAAAGUUAUUACGAAUACAUGAGGAUUUUUCUAUAUAAGUGAUUUAACGGAUUAUCCAUCGUUGAUUUAUACAUACUUUUUGCAACAGAGGAUAUUUUUACAUUAAAUUUGCGUGACUAGAUCUUCAUAUUGUUACAUAUUUUACAUACAAACAUAUCGCACUGAUUAUCCAUCGUUGGUUUUUUUUUUUUUUGAAAAGAUCAAAAUUGGUAUGGUAGUUACUAUAUUUUUUAAUGAAUUGAUAUUCGGGGUCCCUUGAUUUUUUUGGAUAACUGCUCUAACAAAAAAGGAAAUUAUUGAAAUCAUAAAACAUGAUGUGCAAUCUUUUUGGUUUGACUGAAAAGUCAAUAUAGAGUAUUAAUGUAACAAAUCAUUUAUAAUUCAAUCAUAUUCGGUAUUCAAACCUAAGUUUCCUUAUCUUAUUCAUUUAAUUUAUAAAAUUUAUUCUCCACAUAAAAGUUGGACUAGACAUCGAAACUACUAUAAUCUUUUUCAACACUAAGUUUAUUUUCUUUAAAUUUUGGACUAUGAUAAAGUUUAUUCAAACCUAAGUUUCCUUUCCUUAAUUUUUUAUUUGUUUUGGGUGAUGUCACUAAAAUUAAAAGAACUUAAAUUGUGGGUCAGUAACACUUGAGACAAUCAUGUGCUUAUUUAGGCUUGUAUGAUUUUCUCUAUUCUUUAUUAUAUGUUUAAUUGUGAGAAAAUAUAUAUAUUUUUUCUCAUUUUUUUGUAUAUGUUUCAUGUACAUUAAGAAAGUUGACCAUAUUAUUUUCAACAAUUAAUGAUUUGGUUAACUAAUACUAUGUUUAAUUGUGAGAAAUAUUAUAUUAAGGUUUAUUAUUACUAAUACUAUGUUUAUAUAUGUUUAGGUGGCCAACACUUACAUCAAAAUAAUCUCAUAUAUCAUUAAAAUUAAGUAUUUUUAAAAAUAAAAACAAUUGUUUAUAUUAGUCUUUGCUUAUUCUUAUAUGUUUACUUCUACAAAAUAUACUUCAAUUACACAAGUUUUUUUAAAAGUUGAAGCUUACUUUAUAUAAACUUACAUGCACAGUUUCGUUCAGUUUUUCAUUAUAUAAUAUACAAUAUUUGUUACUAUGAUUUUUAACUUUCUAAUAUCUAUAAAUUAAAAGUUUUAAUCUAUUUUAUUUCAUUCAUCCUACGCAGGGCGCAUGUUACCACUUAGUACAAUAUUACACUAAUUAAAAUAAUCAUGGAGGUCAACUGCCCAACCCACUCCCCAACUAGUUCCGUCCCUGGGUCGAAGAUAAGUGACUGUAAGGCAGGAGACUAUUGCCUUUGAUCGUUGGUUACUUUUCCCUUCAAACUCUUAAAGCAUCUUUAAUAGAAUUAUCUUACAAACAUUUCCCGCUUUAUUAGUUAUAAUUACAUCUUUCUCUCACAAGAGAGUAAUCUUUUGCCCGCCUUAAAGAAAUCAGUAUGGUAUAAAGUUUUUCUAAGUUCGAAUCAUUAAAUGAUUCAGGUUGAUUUGAUCCUAGCACAAAGAUUUGGUCUUUCUCUUCGUGUUUUGAUGAUGGUCUGAAGAGUGUUUGGAACUAAUUGUCAUAUAUUUUCUGGUCUAAGGAUUUUAAAGAUAAAUCCAAUUUUUCUUCUGUAAGUAAAUGUACAUUUUAUGGCAGGGAGAUCCGUAGGACUAGGCAUAAUCGGUUUGGUUUUCGAUUUUUCGGUUGUAGAUAUAUAAAACUGUUCGGUUAUUUAUGAAAUUUGAUUCUUAUUUCAGUUUUUGGUUUGAUUGGGUAAUAAUAUUGCGAAUUGGCUAAUAUUCGAUAAAAUUUGUUCCAACUCAGAUCUGGUUUUUGAAUUAUUCAAAUAAAAGAUUCAGAAUUUUUUUUAGUUUUAAGAUUAAAUAUCAAAUAGUUAAGAUAAAUUAAAAUAUUUUAGAUAAAAUUGGUGGGUGUACACUUUACGAUUGCACGUAUUCAACCUGAUAGCAUAAAGAAAAUUUAAUAAAUGUGUUUUAUUGGGCCUAGUUUAAAAGUCUGUUAAGUCUACAUUGAAAUCCGUUUAAUCAGCAGGAUCAACAAAACCUUGAGGAAGGUGCACUAUAAACAUACCACGUGGAGGAAUAAGCACCGUCCGUUUAAAAAUGUAUCCGUUGAUGUUUAAAGAUGCAACGAUACAUAUAUAAAAGCGUAUGUAUCAGAAGGAGAUGAUUACUCUGUUCUUUCACUUCUCUUAGGGUUUUCUCCCAAAAGUUUCUUUCUGGAGAUAACUCCUUUUCAAAGAAGCAGAGAAGUUCACGAUUCUUGAAAGAUGAUCCUGGAAAGCGCUUGAAUCCGUAUGGAAUCAUCGUUGAGAUUGAAGAUAAGUGUGAGUCUCUGAGUUGAACGGCUAAAGAAGUAGCAACCUAAGACAUGUUUUGUAUGGGCUUCAGAAAACUCAGAGAUGAUUUCAAGUGUAUCAGAUUUCUUUAACCAGGUGCGUUCUUCACAAACUGUUCAUAUCUUCAUUGACGCCAAGGAUUUACCCAGAUCAGUAUUAACGAUAUUGAAAGCCAAACAAGUGAGAAGGCAAUGCUUCGGAAUGUGAGUAUACGACCAUAUGCAAUUUAAAUAGAGGGAAAAACUGGUUCAUUAUGUUCAAAUAGUAGAUAAUACGAGCAAGAAUGAUCGUGGUCCAUAUGUUUUAAAUAAUUUAUGGAAAAACUUAUCACAUAAUGGAUUGUUAUUUC
Molecule: long non-coding RNA, 3837 nt
Organism: Brassica napus (rape)
Lineage: Eukaryota; Viridiplantae; Streptophyta; Magnoliopsida; Brassicales; Brassicaceae
Exons: 6
Source: RefSeq, a predicted model, not a curated record